UACGUAGGUGACAAGCGUUGUCCGGAUUUACUGGGCGUAAAGAGCGCGCAGGCGGUCGAUCAAGUCGAGUGUGAAAGCCCCCGGCUCAACUGGGGAGGGUCAUUCGAUACUGAUCGACUCGAAGGCAGGAGAGGGUAGUGGAAUUCCCGGUGUAGUGGUGAAAUGCGUAGAGAUGCGGAGGAACACCGAUGGCGAAGGCAGCCCCCUGGGCUAGCACUGACGCUCAGGCACGAAAGCGUGGGGAGCAAACAGG
This 253-nucleotide ribosomal RNA is filed under the name uncultured bacterium. Its description in RNAcentral is "partial 16S ribosomal RNA". It matches the Rfam family "Bacterial small subunit ribosomal RNA", at positions 524 to 776 of the family's 1533-position model. The record is from RNAcentral.